RNAcentral lists this ribosomal RNA (734 nucleotides) under Bacillus pumilus. RNAcentral describes it as "bacterial SSU rRNA". It matches the Rfam family "Bacterial small subunit ribosomal RNA", at positions 750 to 1479 of the family's 1533-position model. Lineage: Bacteria; Bacillati; Bacillota; Bacilli; Caryophanales; Bacillaceae. The record is from RNAcentral.
GAGGCGAAAGCGUGGGGAGGCGAACAGGAUUGAGAUACCCUGGUAGUCCACGCCGUAAACCGAUGAGUGCUAAGUUGUUAGGGGGUUUCCGCCCCUUAGUGCUGCAGGCUAACGCAUUAAGCACUCCGCCUGGGGAGUACGUCGCAAGACUGAAACUCAAAGGAAUUGACGGGGGCCCGCACAAGCGGUGGAGCAUGUGGUUUAAUUUGAAGCAACGCGAAGAACCUUACCAGGUCUUGACAUCCUCUGACAAUCCCUAGAGAUAGGGCUUUCCCUUCGGGGACAGAGUGACAGGUGGUGCAUGGUUGUCGUCAGCUCGUGUCGUGAGAUGUUGGGUUAAGUCCCGCAACGAGCGCAACCCUUGAUCUUAGUUGCCAGCAUUCAGUUGGGCACUCUAAGGUGACUGCCGGUGACAAACCGGAGGAAGGUGGGGAUGACGUCAAAUCAUCAUGCCCCUUAUGACCUGGGCUACACACGUGCUACAAUGGACAGAACAAAGGGCUGCAAGACCGCAAGGUUUAGCCAAUCCCAUAAAUCUGUUCUCAGUUCGGAUCGCAGUCUGCAACUCGACUGCGUGAAGCUGGAAUCGCUAGUAAUCGCGGAUCAGCAUGCCGCGGUGAAUACGUUCCCGGGCCUUGUACACACCGCCCGUCACACCACGAGAGUUUGCAACACCCGAAGUCGGUGAGGUAACCUUUAUGGAGCCAGCCGCCGAAGGUGGGCAGACGAGAGGG